AUGAGGACUAUUUUCUGGACCUAAUAUAUUCUGAAUAUCUUAGUUUAUGUUUUACAGCUCCUUUGUAGGUUUUAAGCGAAGUGUGUUUGUUUCCUUGACUUGGUUUCGUGUUUACUCUAUCAGGAUUCAGUCUUCAGCCUAAACCAUUUUUUUCUAACUUUGGCGCCAUAGUCACCUUUGCAAUUUUUGGAACUUUUGUUGCUUCCAUGGUCACUGGCAUUUUAGUAUACCUCGCUGGAGUAUCAUUUCUCAUCUACAUGCUUCCUUUUGUUGAAUGUCUGAUGUUUGGUGCGCUUAUCUCAGCCACAGAUCCUGUCACUGUUCUGUCUAAAUUUCAGGAGCUUGGUACAGAUGUGAAUCUGUAUGCUUUGGUCUUUGGAGAAUCUGUGCUAAAUGAUGCAAUGGCAAUUUCUCUGUAUAGAACAAUGUCAUUGGUGAGGAGUCACAUGUCAUCAGAUAAGAACCUUUUCAUGGUGGUGGUCAGAUUUCUUGAGACUUUUGUUGGCUCAAUGUCAGCAGGGGUUGGAGUUGGAUUUACUUCUGCUUUGCUUUUCAAGUAUGCUGGUCUGGAUAUCGAUAAAUACAUGCUAGCCGAAGGACUAGGCCUUUCAGGCAUCGUGUCAAUAUUAUUCACUGGAAUUGUUAUGAAGCACUACACUUUCUCAAAUUUGUCAGACAAAUCUCAGAAAUUUGUAGCUGCAUUUUUCCAUUUAAUAUCAUCGUUGGCCGAGACUUUCAUAUUUAUAUAUAUGGGAUUUGACAUUGCCAUGGAACAGCACAGCUGGUCUCAUGUUGGAUUCAUCUUUUUUCAAUUUUAUUCAUUGGCAUUGAAAGAUGUAUUCUCAUGUGCUUAUUUGGUCAAUAUGGGUAGACCUUCGCAUAGAAAAAUAUCAAUGAAGCAUCAGAAAGCACUUUGGUAUAGUGGGCUCCGAGGGGCAAUGGCAUUUGCGCUUGCCCUGCAAUCGGUUCAUGAUCUUCCAGAGGGUCACGGUCAGACUAUAUUCACUGCGACAACUGCAAUUGUUGUUUUAACGGUUUUGCUGAUAGGAGGUUCAACAGGAACCAUGCUGGAAGCCUUGGAAGUUGUUGGUGAUGGUCAUGAGAUCCCAUUGGGUGAACUGUACAAUUUGGCGUGAGGUAAUCAAAUUUGAAAUUCGAAUUCAAGCAUAAAUUCUAGGAUUCGUUUUUAGCAGUGUGUUGGUGUAGUUAUCUAUGAAUAUGAUGAAAGCAUUAGUCAGCCCUGUGGAUCAAAAUGUUUUUGCAUUCAAUAUUUACUUUUGGAAAGUCACUUACAUAUCCUUCUCCCAUUGCUCUGUAUGAUCACCGGCUCCUCUAACAGAGCCAAUAAAUUUGUUGUCCCACUCAUUGUCUCCCUGUCAUAAGGUCAUAAUCAGGUUAAACAGAGCCAUUAAAUUUGUUGCUUGCUUGAUAAUAUUACACCAAUUUCUGCAACAGCGGUCACAAGUUCUGGGAUUUUAACGUCUUUGUUUCAAUUUCAGAGUUUUGAUGCAAACCAAUGGCUACAUAGCUCCUACUUAUGAGGGGGAAUCAUCUUCUGGGAACCGGUUUAAGAUGACACUUAGUGAGUUCCGUAAAAGCACUGCAUCUUUCACUGAAAAUAAAUCGUAGGUGUAAAAUUGUAGU
Molecule: RNA transcript, 1644 nt
Organism: Salvia splendens (bonfire salvia)
Lineage: Eukaryota; Viridiplantae; Streptophyta; Magnoliopsida; Lamiales; Lamiaceae
Gene name: sodium/hydrogen exchanger 6
Exons: 17
Source: RefSeq, a predicted model, not a curated record